CUGAAGGAGAAGUAUCUUUACUUGGAGAUUGCCUACUUUGGGAGUUUACUAGUGAGCCUGGUAUUCUCUGAACAGGGAGGAAACCCAAGGCACAGAGGAGGAGGUGAGAUACUGAGAACUGCUCCAGCAAACCAGGAAAAGAGGUCCACCAGGCAUUCCACGUGCCAGCCUGGGCUCCCUCCCUACUGUAUGGCAGCAUCACUCACAGAAAUGAUAAGGCUAAAGGAGCAAGAGGAAAGGUUGUCCAGCACCGAGCAGCUAACGGCCCUUUGUGGACUCAGACCAUCAAAGAGAAGACUACAGAAUGGGGACAGGCAUUCUUUCCAUUCCUGUCUGUCAGUGAAUAUGAGGAAAUGAGAGCAUGGGCCAGACCUCACUCCAGGUGCUGGCAGUGCUUUCGAACAUGAAAGGAUGCCAUUAAACUGCUGAACCUUAAGUGACAGCACAGAGUUCCUUUGCACAGAAACACUGUCUUCUGGCUAUGCUGACAACAUAAAAUGUUCAUGCCAUCAAGGACAAUCUGUUUCUGAGCCUUCCUUAUGAGUAUGGAGGUGUUAGCUGAACAUAAUUUAUCUGUGGCAACUUUUUCAUGGGUUCCCGUAUGGAGAGUAGAGAUUCUGGGGAAAAAGGCAAAUUACAGAUGGUGCAAUAGCAUCUUGAUGAAAGCUGUGACUUAUAUAUGGGUGUAAGAAACAGGCCGUAGAUCUUCAUCUACAUUUUAGUUCAUUCCAAACCUUGGAGAAGUUGCUUCCAUCUGACGUUUUGGUUUGGCCCCAUAUGCUACUAGAGAUCUGCCUCCAAAUGUCAUUCUCAAUCUGGAUUCAGUCUGUGAGCUGCCCGUUUUACCAGGUUAGAAUAGGAGCUUUAACCUGG
Gallus gallus (chicken) is the source of this 873-nucleotide long non-coding RNA. The record is from Ensembl. Lineage: Eukaryota; Metazoa; Chordata; Aves; Galliformes; Phasianidae.